AGUGAACGCUGGCGGCGUGCUUAACACAUGCAAGUCGAACGAGAACGGGCUAUAGCUUGCUAUAGUUGUCAGCUAAGUGGCGCACGGGUGAGGAAUGUAUAGGUAAUAUGCCUCUUACUAAGGGAUAACAAAUGGAAACGUUUGCUAAUACUUUAUACUCUUUAUUAGCUGAGGUUAAUAUGGGAAAGAUUGAUUGGUAAGAGAUUAGCUUGUAUUGUAUCAGUUAGUUGGUUGGGGAAUGGCUUACCAAGACUAUGACACAUAACUGGUUUGAGAGAAUGAUCAGUCACACUGGAACUGAGACACGGUCCAGACUCCUACGGGAGGCAGCAGUGGGGAAUAUUGCACAAUGGACGAAAAUCUGAUGCAGCAACGCCGCGUGGAGGAUGACACAUUUCGGUGCGUAAACUCCUUUUAUAUGAGAAGAUAAUGACGGUAUUAUAUGAAUAAGCACCGGCUAACUCCGUGCCAGCAGCCGCCGUAA
This 484-nucleotide ribosomal RNA is filed under the name uncultured bacterium. Its description in RNAcentral is "partial 16S ribosomal RNA". It matches the Rfam family "Bacterial small subunit ribosomal RNA", at positions 29 to 523 of the family's 1533-position model. The record is from RNAcentral.